UAAUCAUCUUGCCUGUAAUACCGCUUGGAAGAAGAACAAAUCCGUGAAGUAGAUGAACCAACGAAGCCGAACGAAACCUCACACUCCCACAUGCUCGCGGAACUCUAUCGAGAAGAAGCAAUCCGAAAACAAACAAUCAACAGUCGUUAAACACCACAAUGUAUGAAUGACAUGAUGCACAACAAUAUGAUGCAUGUCCAUUUAAUUAUGCAUGGUAUGGCAAAGCACAAAAAUCAACUUCUACACAUUAAGUCAAGCUCAAUAUGCAACGAGAAGCAUAUUGACAGAACACCAUGUUUAAAUCAUUUAAUUCACUCUUGUUUAUUAUACGACAUGUUAAAUGUUGUUAAGUUUGGCAAGAGGUGAAGCAUAAAUAAACUACAUAUCUAGGCAUUUUAAAUGAGGUCGGAAACAACUUAUAGUAUUUCUGGAAGGACCCCAUAUGUUAAUUACAAAAUUGAUCAAGAUCUAAACGAAACAUAUUUUACAUUUAUUAAACAGAAAAAUAAAGUGGACCAUGUGAAUCUACACGUCAUACUAGUCGGUUUACAUGUAUAGAUCAUCUAGAACGGAGCAAUGGUCUAAAAGAUAUGAGCAACACAAGAUGAUAUGGUAUGAAUGCAAAAUGUACGCAAUUGACAGCCACAUGCACCUUAAAUCAUGGAUGCAACAAGAUAUCAUGGAGCUACAUAAAAUUCUAGGCAAGUUUAAAUAAGGUCGGACAAACAAUAACAAUUCUAGAAAGUCCUCAUAUGUAAUUUUCCAACUUUCCACAGAUCUACAUAGAACACAAUUUUUGAUUUAUUAAACAACAAAAUAAAUGCCACCAUGUUAUUCUACAAAUUUUUCUGGUCAAGUUACAUAUUUGGAAGAUUGUAAUGAGAGCUACGUUUAAUUAGGUAUGCAAUGAAUCAUUUUACUAUGGUAUUUAUGCAUAUUAAAUGAAAACAGCAAGUUAAACAUUUAAACAUGGUUGAAAGUUGCAUAUUGUGAAAAUAAACAAAAUUCUAAGCGUUUUUACAUGUCUAAAUUAUUUCAAUCCGAUGCAUAGGUAAAUAAUUAUUAAUAUUUUCAAAUGAUGACUUUUGUGAAAUAUGUAAUUUAGUGGAUAAUUAGGCAAUUCGCAGCAAGGAAAAAAAUACUACACGGGCCGAAUCUUUGCACUAGGACGAAAGAGUACAUGGGUGCAAUAUAGAAAAAUUACACACACGCGAGGAAUAAAGGUUUGUGCUUACCCUGGGCCACAUCUGGUCGGCUUGGCUGGGCCGAAGUGAUGCAUUGGCCUUGGCUGCUGUGCGCUGAAGCUAGGCCGCGGGGGAAGUGGAGGAGGCCGCUGCUGGGGACAGGCCGGUUCGGGAGCUGGUCACGGGCCCAAGGGGCGCUGGCUGUGGCCCACACAGGCUGGGCACGCGAGGCAGCCCGGGAGAAGCGAUGGUCAACGUGGGCGACAACUCCCUGCUCGAUCUCGUCGAGCCGGAUGUUGCUGGCGGCAGCGGCGGGGAGAUUCGGCCGAGAAAAAGGCCAGGGCGGCUAGAUCCUUGACCAUGAGGCGCGACCAUGG
Molecule: long non-coding RNA, 1561 nt
Filed under: Hordeum vulgare
Lineage: Eukaryota; Viridiplantae; Streptophyta; Magnoliopsida; Poales; Poaceae
Description: long non-coding RNA (HVUL_LNC012570)
Source: RNAcentral